This 545-nucleotide long non-coding RNA is filed under the name Manihot esculenta (cassava). RNAcentral's name for it is "long non-coding RNA (MESC_LNC005273)". The record is from RNAcentral. Lineage: Eukaryota; Viridiplantae; Streptophyta; Magnoliopsida; Malpighiales; Euphorbiaceae.
AAUCCGUAUUUUUUUGGUGAUAAAAGGAUCAAGAAAAUGAUAUGUAUAAUUGAGAAGGUGAUACGUGGAGGCUGAUAAGUAAAUUUUCUCGUCGGAUAACGCUGAAAAUCCAUUCAUUAGCAGCCACGUGGAUAGCGACAGCAUUUCCUGUUCCGGGGACCAACUCCUUGUCAGCUAAUCCUACGAAUCUAUCCACUUUUUUUGUAACGAAAGAUCCAAUGAGUUCUGCAAAUUACAUUGCAUUUUGUAAUAGAAGUCGUUGUUUCCAUUGUCACUUUCUCAUCCAAAGAGCAAUUCUUUUACUUUUACGCCCACCAACCAGGAAUUGGUUUCCUUGUUUCCUAUAAAAGCCCCACUUUUGAUUUUUCUCUUUCAGACACUAACCUCAGCUUUUACGAUACAAGAAACAAGAUAUUUUUCGGACUUCGGUUUCUUGGCCGGAGAUUUAGCAACCUUAAUUUCCUGGUACGUAAAGUAGAAGUUCCAGUUUAUGCAGAUGCAGCGCCUACGCCACCCUAUUAUUCUCUGUUACCGGAUAUUNNNNN